Molecule: ribosomal RNA, 461 nt
Filed under: uncultured organism
Description: partial 16S ribosomal RNA
Rfam family: Bacterial small subunit ribosomal RNA
Source: RNAcentral
CGUACACUCCUGCGGGAGGCAGCAGUGGGGAAUAUUGCACAAUGGGCGCAAGCCUGAUGCAGCGACGCCGCGUGGGGGAUGAAGGCCUUCGGGUUGUAAACUCCUUUCGCUAGGGACGAAGCUUUUUUGUGACGGUACCUAGAUAAGAAGCACCGGCUAACUACGUGCCAGCAGCCGCGGUAAUACGUAGGGUGCGAGCGUUGUCCGGAAUUACUGGGCGUAAAGGGCUCGUAGGUGGUUUGUCGCGUCGUCUGUGAAAUUCUGGGGCUUAACUCCGGGCGUGCAGGCGAUACGGGCAUAACUUGAGUGCUGUAGGGGUAACUGGAAUUCCUGGUGUAGCGGUGAAAUGCGCAGAUAUCAGGAGGAACACCGAUGGCGAAGGCAGGUUACUGGGCAGUUACUGACGCUGAGGAGCGAAAGCAUGGGUAGCGAACAGGAUUAGAAACCCCAGUAGUCCCAUG